Etheostoma cragini (Arkansas darter) is the source of this 69-nucleotide long non-coding RNA. RefSeq lists it as uncharacterized. Lineage: Eukaryota; Metazoa; Chordata; Actinopteri; Perciformes; Percidae. The record is from RefSeq and is a predicted model, not a curated record. The transcript has 3 exons.
UUUCAUUUCCUAUUGUCAGGAUAAAGUGACACUUUCUGCAAAUAUGACAAAAACAGAUUUUUACAAAAG